This is a non-coding RNA of Gasterosteus aculeatus aculeatus (three-spined stickleback), 643 nucleotides long. NCBI's taxonomy places the organism in Eukaryota, Metazoa, Chordata, Actinopteri, Perciformes, Gasterosteidae. The record is from RefSeq and is a predicted model, not a curated record.
CCCCACCUUCUCCCCACUAUUACAUAACAGCCUCCGCUGCAGAGGAAGAGCACUGCAGAGGACUCUGGCCACAACACAUAAAUCUUACUAUGUACAAUCUCCGCUUGGGUAAAUGGAUGGCAAAUGAAACAUUCCCGGAUUGGAAAACAAGGCUAUGAUCACUUGUAACUGGUGAUGGUUAUGAAGACAUACUAUACAAAAUGAAGAAUCCACAAUCGAUGACAAUGUAGCUUUUUUUAAUGGUUGAACUUUUGUUUACACAAUGUCUUCAAGUCUAUCAGUUCAUAAAUGCAGCUGAGUGAAGUUGCAUAUUGGAAAAUCUGAAUUAUUCUUUAAAGCUUUGUGACGAUGAACAGCUACAUGAACGCUGUGCUACAUGAACGCUGAGCUACAUGAACGCCGUGCUACAUGAACGCUGUGCUACAUGAACGCUGAGCUACAUGAACGCCGUGCUACAUGAACGCUGUGCUACGCUGAACAAAGACGUAAGGAAGGUCCAAGUGGAAAAAUGCACGGCCCACCACUGGUGUGUGAGUUUACCGUGACAUCAUGGAACUGAUGCAGAAGUGAGAAAGUCAAGUUUACAAUAGAAUUUAUGUACAAGGCAAAUUAGGAAGUAAAUAAAUUCACUUUUUGCUAACCA